GAUGAACGCUGGCGGCGUGCUUAACACAUGCCAGUCGAACGAUGAAGCCCAGCUUGCUGGGUGGAUUAGUGGCGAACGGGUGAGUAACACGUGAAUAACCUGCCCUUGACUCUGGGAUAAGCCUGGGAAACUGGGUCUAAUACUGGAUAUGACUUCUCAUCGCAUGGUGGGGGGUGGAAAGAUUUAUUGGUCUUGGAUGGACUCGCGGCCUAUCAGCUUGUUGGUGGGGUAAUGGCUCACCAAGGCGACGACGGGUAGCCGGCCUGAGAGGGUGACCGGCCACACUGGGACUGAGACACGGCCCAGACUCCUACGGGAGGCAGCAGUGGGGAAUAUUGCACAAUGGGCGCAAGCCUGAUGCAGCGACGCCGCGUGAGGGAUGACGGCCUUCGGGUUGUAAACCUCUUUCAGUAGGGAAGAAGCGAGAGUGACGGUACCUGCAGAAGAAGCGCCGGCUAACUACGUG
Molecule: ribosomal RNA, 466 nt
Filed under: uncultured bacterium
Lineage: Bacteria
Description: partial 16S ribosomal RNA
Rfam family: Bacterial small subunit ribosomal RNA
Source: RNAcentral